Molecule: ribosomal RNA, 378 nt
Filed under: uncultured organism
Description: bacterial SSU rRNA
Rfam family: Bacterial small subunit ribosomal RNA
Source: RNAcentral
CGCAAUGGGCGAAAGCCUGAUGGAGCAACGCCGCGUGCAGGAUGAAGGCCCUUGGGUCGUAAACUGCUUUUAUGUGAGAAGAAUAUGACGGUAACACAUGAAUAAGGGUCGGCUAACUACGUGCCAGCAGCCGCGGUCAUACGUAGGACCCCAGCGUUAUCCGGAAUUAUUGGGCGUAAAGGGUGCGUAGGUGGUUGUGUUAGUCGUUUGUCAAAUCUCUGGGCUUAACCUAGAAACCGCGAACGAAACGGCACAACUUGAGAGUGUGAGGGGUAUAGGGAACUCAUGGUGUAGGGGUGAAAUCCGUUGAUAUCAUGGGGAACACCAAAAGCGAAGGCACUAUACUGGCACACAUCUGACACUCCAGCACGAAAGCGU